RNAcentral lists this ribosomal RNA (552 nucleotides) under Escherichia coli. Its description in RNAcentral is "bacterial LSU rRNA". It matches the Rfam family "Bacterial large subunit ribosomal RNA", at positions 1290 to 1827 of the family's 2925-position model. Lineage: Bacteria; Pseudomonadati; Pseudomonadota; Gammaproteobacteria; Enterobacterales; Enterobacteriaceae. The record is from RNAcentral.
GCGAAUGCUGACAUAAGUAACGAUAAAGCGGGUGAAAAGCCCGCUCGCCGGAAGACCAAGGGUUCCUGUCCAACGUUAAUCGGGGCAGGGUGAGUCGACCUCUAAGGCGAGGCCGAAAGGCGUAGUCGAUGGGAAACAGGUUAAUAUUCCUGUACUUGGUGUUACUGCGAAGGGGGGACGGAGAAGGCUAUGUUGGCCGGGCGACGGUUGUCCCGGUUUAAGCGUGUAGGCUGGUUUUCCAGGCAAAUCCGGAAAAUCAAGGCUGAGGCGUGAUGACGAGGCACUACGGUGCUGAAGCAACAAAUGCCCUGCUUCCAGGAAAAGCCUCUAAGCAUCAGGUAACAUCAAAUCGUACCCCAAACCGACACAGGUGGUCAGGUAGAGAAUACCAAGGCGCUUGAGAGAACUCGGGUGAAGGAACUAGGCAAAAUGGUGCCGUAACUUCGGGAGAAGGCACGCUGAUAUGUAGGUGAAGUCCCUCGCGGAUGGAGCUGAAAUCAGUCGAAGAUACCAGCUGGCUGCAACUGUUUAUUAAAAACACAGCACUGUGCA